AAAGACAACAGUGUGAUUCCACUUGUGUUUAUUUUAAUCGUUUUACUUCUAAUUGGUAUCGUUACUUCCGUGGUUAUGAUGUUAAAUAAAGGAAUAUGUGAUAAACUCACUAAAGUCUGUCAACAGACCAAUAAGAAAACGGAACAGAAUAAAAAAGAUGAAACUGGAGAAGAAACUGGUCUUCUUACAGUAGACAGAAAUGUCAAAGGUAA
Molecule: long non-coding RNA, 212 nt
Organism: Saccostrea echinata
Lineage: Eukaryota; Metazoa; Mollusca; Bivalvia; Ostreida; Ostreidae
Exons: 3
Source: RefSeq, a predicted model, not a curated record